This 395-nucleotide ribosomal RNA is filed under the name uncultured bacterium. RNAcentral's name for it is "bacterial SSU rRNA". It matches the Rfam family "Bacterial small subunit ribosomal RNA", at positions 411 to 797 of the family's 1533-position model. The record is from RNAcentral.
AAGGCCUUCGGGUUGUAAAGUCCUUUCGUGGAGGACGAAAAGGCGGGUUCUAAUACAAUCUGCUGUUGACGUGAAUCCAAGAAGAAGCACCGGCUAACUCCGUGCCAGCAGCCGCGGUAAUACGGGGGGUGCAAGCGUUAAUCGGAAUCACUGGGCGUAAAGGGUGCGUAGGCGGUACGUUAGGUCUGUCGUGAAAUCCCCGGGCUCAACCUGGGAAUGGCGGUGGAAACCGGCGCACUAGAGUAUGGGAGAGGGUGGUGGAAUUCCAGGUGUAGCGGUGAAAUGCGUAAAGAUCUGGAGGAACAUCAGUGGCGAAGGCGGCCACCUGGCCCAAUACUGACGCUGAGGCACGAAAGCGUGGGGAGCAAACAGGAUUAGAUACCCUGGGUAGUCAA